RNAcentral lists this ribosomal RNA (499 nucleotides) under uncultured bacterium. Its description in RNAcentral is "partial 16S ribosomal RNA". It matches the Rfam family "Bacterial small subunit ribosomal RNA", at positions 28 to 507 of the family's 1533-position model. The record is from RNAcentral.
GACGAACGCUGGCGGCGUGCCUAAUACAUGCAAGUCGAGCGGACUUUCAAGAAGCUUGCUUUUUGAAAGUUAGCGGCGGACGGGUGAGUAACACGUGGGCAACCUGCCUGCAAGACGGGGAUAACUCCGGGAAACCGGGGCUAAUACCGGAUAAUAUCUUCCUUCGCAUGAAGGAAGGUUGAAAGGCGGCGCAAGCUGCCGCUUGCAGAUGGGCCCGCGGCGCAUUAGCUAGUUGGUGAGGUAACGGCUCACCAAGGCGACGAUGCGUAGCCGACCUGAGAGGGUGAUCGGCCACACUGGGACUGAGACACGGCCCAGACUCCUACGGGAGGCAGCAGUAGGGAAUCUUCCGCAAUGGACGAAAGUCUGACGGAGCAACGCCGCGUGAGCGAAGGAGGUCUUCGGAUCGUAAAGCUCUGUUGUCAGGGAAGAACAAGUACCGUUCGAACAGGGCGGUACCUUGACGGUACCUGACCAGAAAGCCACGGCUAACUACGUG